RNAcentral lists this ribosomal RNA (200 nucleotides) under uncultured bacterium. Its description in RNAcentral is "partial 16S ribosomal RNA". It matches the Rfam family "Bacterial small subunit ribosomal RNA", at positions 8 to 208 of the family's 1533-position model. The record is from RNAcentral.
AGAGUUUGAUCCUGGCUCAGGACGAACGCUGGCGGCGUGCUUAACACAUGCAAGUCGAACGAUGAUCCGGUUUCGGCCGGGGAUUAGUGGCGAACGGGUGAGUAACACGUGGGUGACCUGCCCCAGACUCUGGGAUAACUCCGGGAAACCGGGGCUAAUACCGGAUAUGACCCGAGGCUGCAUGGCCUCGUGUGGAAAGU